UCUCCCAUGUGCUUUUCAUGCUUUAAUUUGAAAUCUUUUCAAACCCUUACAAUUCCACGCCAUCUAUUUCAACGUAACCACCAUUUUAAUCUCAAUUCUCAAUUCUCUCAAACUCUCCCCUCUUUAAUCAAUCUCCGGCGCCAACGCCGCUAAUCGUUCUAUCUCCGACGAGUAUAAGUCUUCCGGCCUCCUGCACAACUAAAAUGAAAAGAAACUGCGGUUUGGAGCUCUGGCUUGUUUGGAGCUCUGGCUUGUGCCACCAUCUCUCUCUUUUCCGGCUAAAGAUUACCAACACUUUCAACAACACCCCAAGUUGGAAAUGAAUAAAAUGAUGAACGGAAGUACCACAAAAGAGGGACAGCAGCAGCUAACAAUAUUCUAUAAUGGAAAAGUUGUAUCGUGUGAUGUCACAAAACUACAGGCUAGAGCCAUCAUACUGCAAGCGAGUCAGCAGAAAUUGAACACGGCGGCGAUGAUAUCGUCAUUUUCCGUUCAAUCUCCGCCGCCGCUGGUGCUUCAAUCCCAACAAGUAUGCAGUUCUUCUGGUCUCUCUUUGAAGAGAUCUUUGAAGCUAUUUCUUCAAAAGAGAAAAAAUAGGGUCCAUGCAGCAUCUCCCUAUAAAUCCUAUCGUCGCUAGUAAUAAUCUCAAUAAUUAUUACUCAUUUUCAUGAAUCAAAAUCGUCUCCUAUGAGUAUUAUUGUCUCAAGAUAUAGAACAAACUCCUGUAACCCACCAUCAUGAAAUAUAGAGUAUGUCUAUUAGGACUAUUAGGACUCUAUUAUCCAUAUUAGACUAGGACUAUAUUAUUCGUGUUAGACUAGG
Long non-coding RNA from Ipomoea nil (Japanese morning glory), 822 nucleotides. RefSeq lists it as uncharacterized. The record is from RefSeq and is a predicted model, not a curated record. Lineage: Eukaryota; Viridiplantae; Streptophyta; Magnoliopsida; Solanales; Convolvulaceae. The transcript has 3 exons.